RNAcentral lists this non-coding RNA (90 nucleotides) under Stenotrophomonas maltophilia. The record is from RNAcentral. Lineage: Bacteria; Pseudomonadati; Pseudomonadota; Gammaproteobacteria; Lysobacterales; Lysobacteraceae.
GACUAUGGCGGGCGCUGCGUGUGGCCGUCUGGCCAUCGGAGUUCUUCUUCAGUCUCUCCGGGUUCCAAGCACGCAUCGCCCGCCACCCUU